Sus scrofa (pig) is the source of this 2018-nucleotide non-coding RNA. NCBI's taxonomy places the organism in Eukaryota, Metazoa, Chordata, Mammalia, Artiodactyla, Suidae. The record is from RefSeq and is a predicted model, not a curated record.
UUAAAUCUGGCUUUUGAGAGCCCAUAAAAAGCGAGGUGAUGGGGCGAGCCCAGGCCCAUGGCAGACGUGACCAACCGCGGACGGGAGGUUUCCCCUGGGAGGAGAAGCCCUCCUCGUGAGCACGCAGGGGCAGACCUCCGCUGAUGCCAAUGCUGAUGCCGCAACGCUGUCCUCGCUCCUGGACUCAGCCCAGCCCAGAGGGAGGGACCUAGGAGCAGCCAAAGGCGCCCGGCGACCGAGAGAAUGUGUUUCCUGGGGUUCCGAGGACAAAGUAGGGGUCAGUCUGAACGAGGCACUGACCUCAAGGGAAUUGGUGUUUCCUUGAGAACCAGAAGUAUUGGAACUUGGAUCUUGGGUUAAUUAUCCAAAUCUUUGGAAAAAGUAUUGUUUUGAUUCUUCAUCUGAAAAUCCUGAAAUUCUGCCUUCUCUUGAGGAUGUGAGUCAAAGGAGCAAGACGAAGUGAGUAAAACUGUGCAGAUUUCUCAGCGAGACUGAGAAGUGCCAUCUUGAACCAGCUCCACAGGAGCCCGGAUUUUGCUGCUGCCGGGCCCUGCCCCCAGCGCCUUGCACUGGAGAUGAUGUGAACUAGCGAUGCUCAGAUUUGUAACCUGGAGACUCCAGACGUUUUUUAAUCCCGUGCCCUCAGGCUGAACACCCCCCUUUGACUGUCUCCUGACUUCCUUCGUGUAUAAGAGAAGCUCACCCUGCGCUGCUUUUAGGAACCUCUGGUGGAAACGCCACAGCGGACCCGUUCUGUGGCUCCUUCUGCGAGGCUCGUUAUCUCAGGUCAUUGGUUUCUAGCCCUAAUUUGAUGACUUGUUAGUGCCAAACUUGCUAAAAUGUGGUUUUACUUCCAGAAUUUAAAUACCGUUAAGGCGCUUAGUCCUCUUAACCAGCUCUCUACCAUCCUUCCUGUCCGGUCUCCCCUGAUGUCUAGGAUGACAAAGGAUAAUUCGAUGAGAAGGGAUGUUUGGUGGGCACGCGGCUGGGGAGGAGGACUGAGAAAUAAACAGAACAUGGACAAGCGGUAGGAUUAACAGAAACAUCAGUCUCUACACCACUCCACCGUUUUACCCCCGGGUAUCAGUCUGAGACCUUAGCCCAUUUACGGCGAAGAAAAGGAUGCAGAGGAUCCGGGCGGUUUGCUCGAGGGCAGAGGGGCCUAAAGGUGGUUGGUGCAUCCGUGAGGCCCUGCUCUCAGCCCAGGGAAGGGGGACGGUGAGGGGGCCAGGGGUCCUGGAGCCCCAGGUAAAGGGGGGCUGGCAGAGAGCAAGGCGGCAGGACGAGUUCUGGGACUCCUGGGCUGCGUGUAGUGUCCCCAGGAUGCACCAGUCACUUUACUAGGUCCAUCUGGAGGGUCUAAUGGACUUAAGGUUCUGUCUGCAGGUUCUAGACAUUAGGAUCAGCUUUAUGAUUUUAUACUUUUAAAGGAAUCAGAUCAAAUUUCUUUCCGUGCUACAGGGUCUGUGUAGGAGCAGUUUGUUCCCAGAGAGCCUGAGAUACCCUUCAUCUGGCGUCUUUAUCUUAGAGAUGAUGGUGCCAGUUGUGAACAAGGCGGCUUUAUUUCUCUCCAGCUCUGGAUCAGGAUGGACCCUGCUGGAUGGGGUGUUUCCCUCCCUGGAACUUACAGAUGCCGCAGUUGUGGCCAAAAAGAAAAGAGACAGACGGUGGUGGCUGGGACCAGAGCGGAAGAGUGAAGAUUGUAGAAGUGGAUGACGGUCCUGAAUGCUGGCAAGGAGGCUGGGGUUUCCGGCUGCAUAGCUGUCCUAGCAUCUGAAAUGGAAGGAAACUAUUCAGUUAGCAUUUCCACCCUGGUCCCUCCUGCAGUGAUUUGUGUCUCCGCACUAUUAGCUUGAAUUCAGCUGAAGUCAUUUCCUAUGGGGUUAUUCUCCUGUUAACAGGAGAAACCCAGCAAUCCUGCCCCGCUGGGCUCAAAACGCCUCUCUCCCUCUUUCCAUGUUUAAAAAUAUCGAACAGUCGUCUCCAAGCUCAAGGGAAAUAAAGUGCCCAAAACAACU